GAUGAACGCUGGCGGCGUGCCUAAUACAUGCAAGUCGAGCGAACGGACGAGAAGCUUGCUCCUCUGAUGUUAGCGGCGGACGGGUGAGUAACACGUGGAUAACCUACCUCUAAGACUGGGAUAAUUUCGGGAAACCGGAGCUACUACCGGCUAAUAUUUUCAACCGCAUGGUUCAAAAGUUCAAGACGGUUUUGCUGUCACUUAUAGCUGGAUCCGCGCUGCAUUAGCUAGUUGGUAAGGUAACGGCUUACCAAGGCAACGAUGCGUAGCCGACCUGAGAGGGUGAUCGGCCACACUGGAACUGAGACACGGUCCAGACUCCUACGGGAGGCAGCAGUAGGGAAUAUUGCGCAAUGGGCGAAAGCCUGACGGAGCAACGCCGCGUGAGUGAUGAAGGUCUUCGGAUCGUAAAACUCUGUUAUUAGGGAAGAAAAUAUGUGUAAGUAACUGUGCACAUCUUGACGGUACCUAAUCAGAAAGCCACGGCUAACUACGUG
Molecule: ribosomal RNA, 497 nt
Filed under: uncultured bacterium
Lineage: Bacteria
Description: partial 16S ribosomal RNA
Rfam family: Bacterial small subunit ribosomal RNA
Source: RNAcentral